UCCCGGCUAGCUCAGUCGGUAGAGCGUCAGACUCUUAUUCAAGGGUUUCCGAGCUUUGUUCGGUAUCUGAAUGUCGUGGGUUCGAGCCCCACGUUGGGAG
Molecule: transfer RNA, 100 nt
Rfam family: tRNA
About the family: Transfer RNA (tRNA) molecules are approximately 80 nucleotides in length.
Source: Rfam